RNAcentral lists this ribosomal RNA (323 nucleotides) under uncultured bacterium. Its description in RNAcentral is "bacterial SSU rRNA". It matches the Rfam family "Bacterial small subunit ribosomal RNA", at positions 28 to 334 of the family's 1533-position model. The record is from RNAcentral.
GAUAAACGCUGGCGGCGUGCAUAACACAUGCAAGUCGAACGAUGAAGGUUAAUAGAUUUCUUCGGAAUGACAUUAAUUGGAUUAGUGGCGGACGGGUGAGUAACGCGUGAGCAACCUGCCUUACACAAGGGGAUAGCCGUUGGAAACGACGAAUAAUACCCUAUGAUAUGAUAGCCUCGCAUGAAGCUAUCAUCAAAGAUUUAUCGGUGUAAGAUGGACUCGCGUCUGAUUAGCUAGUUGGUGGGGUAACAGCUCACCAAGGCAACGAUCAGUAGCCGGCUUGAGAGAGUGUACGGCCACAUUGGGACUGAGACACGGCCCAG